Molecule: transfer RNA, 77 nt
Filed under: Balneolaceae bacterium
Lineage: Bacteria; Pseudomonadati; Balneolota; Balneolia; Balneolales; Balneolaceae
Description: tRNA-Pro
Rfam family: tRNA
About the family: Transfer RNA (tRNA) molecules are approximately 80 nucleotides in length. Their secondary structure includes four short double-helical elements and three loops (D, anti-codon, and T loops).
Source: RNAcentral
CGGGGCGUAGCGCAGCCCGGUAGCGCACUUGCAUGGGGUGCAAGGGGUCGCAGGUUCAAAUCCUGUCGCCCCGACGA